GUCCACGCCGUAAACGAUGAGUACUAAGUGUUGGAAGAAUCCAGUGCUGUAGUUAACGCAAUAAGUACUACGCCUGAGUAGUACGUACGCAAGUAUGAAACUCAAAGGAAUUGACGGGACCCCGCACAAGCGGUGGAUCAUGUUGUUUAAUUCGAAGAUACACGAAAAACCUUACCAGGUCUUGACAUACCGAGCAAAAGCUAUAGAGAUAUAGUGGAGGUUAACUUGGAUACAGGUGGUGCAUGGUUGUCGU
This 253-nucleotide ribosomal RNA is filed under the name uncultured bacterium. RNAcentral's name for it is "partial 16S ribosomal RNA". It matches the Rfam family "Bacterial small subunit ribosomal RNA", at positions 793 to 1055 of the family's 1533-position model. The record is from RNAcentral.